Molecule: ribosomal RNA, 491 nt
Filed under: Citrobacter werkmanii
Lineage: Bacteria; Pseudomonadati; Pseudomonadota; Gammaproteobacteria; Enterobacterales; Enterobacteriaceae
Description: partial 23S ribosomal RNA
Rfam family: Bacterial large subunit ribosomal RNA
Source: RNAcentral
UGUUGUGAACUCGAAGAGUAGGGCGGGACACGUGGUAUCCUGUCUGAAUAUGGGGGGACCAUCCUCCAAGGCUAAAUACUCCUGACUGACCGAUAGUGAACCAGUACCGUGAGGGAAAGGCGAAAAGAACCCCGGCGAGGGGAGUGAAAAAGAACCUGAAACCGUGUACGUACAAGCAGUGGGAGCAUCCUUCGGGGUGUGACUGCGUACCUUUUGUAUAAUGGGUCAGCGACUUAUAUUCUGUAGCAAGGUUAACCGUAUAGGGGAGCCGAAGGGAAACCGAGUCUUAACUGGGCGUUAAGUUGCAGGGUAUAGACCCGAAACCCGGUGAUCUAGCCAUGGGCAGGUUGAAGGUUGGGUAACACUAACUGGAGGACCGAACCGACUAAUGUUGAAAAAUUAGCGGAUGACUUGUGGCUGGGGGUGAAAGGCCAAUCAAACCGGGAGAUAGCUGGUUCUCCCCGAAAGCUAUUUAGGUAGCGCCUCGUGAA